GCACCCGUUGCUGUAACAUUAGAUGACACUGUAAUCCAUUUUGAAGAAGAUGGGAUUGCAAGGGUAAGUAAGAAGGAUGCCUCUCAGUUCUUAAGAGGAGCGAAGCUGAACAUAUCAAUUAUUCAAGUAUUCAUGAGGGAACAUCGGAUGCUUUUGGUGAUUUGUGUACCUACUUGCACUAUUUAUCAAUUUGACUCAGCUCGCCCAACAACAAGGAGAAACGUUAAAAUGAAGCCUAUUGUGAGCUUUUUUUCACUGGGUAUAAGCUAAAUGGAAACCGUGUGAAUAGGAAAAAAAAACCUCUAUGGAAACUCAUGACGUGUGCUCAACAAAGAGGUGGUACCGAGUGUGGCUUUUACAUAAUGAGAUACAUGUAUAACAUACUCUCCAAAUACGAUGAAGCAAAUGAUAUUGAUGAGGUUUGCACGUCUUUAAAUGAAGAUCCUUACACCGAUGGUGAUAUUGAAGAAGUGCAGAACAUAUAGGCCUUAUAUUUCACUAAUUAUUGUGUGUGGAUCAUAGUUAUUUAAUAAUAUUUUGUGUUUUGUUUUGGAUUGAUAUAUGUACGUACAAAAUUGAAUCGUACAUUUUAUCAUAUAUAUUGUGAUAAUCUAAUUUGGGCUAAUUAAAGUAUUUUGUUCAUAAAGUUAAGGAAUACAGGUCCUUCAUGAGUAAAUUACACACAAAAACAGUAGAGGUGCUGCCGAAAUUUUGUUUCAUUCAUUAUUUAUUACCAAAUAAUAGUAUUUACAAAAAAAAAAAAAAAAAAAAAA
This is a long non-coding RNA of Chenopodium quinoa (quinoa), 773 nucleotides long. RefSeq lists it as uncharacterized. The record is from RefSeq and is a predicted model, not a curated record. The transcript is spliced from 5 exons. Lineage: Eukaryota; Viridiplantae; Streptophyta; Magnoliopsida; Caryophyllales; Amaranthaceae.